Molecule: ribosomal RNA, 492 nt
Filed under: uncultured bacterium
Lineage: Bacteria
Description: partial 16S ribosomal RNA
Rfam family: Bacterial small subunit ribosomal RNA
Source: RNAcentral
AGUGAACGCUGGCGGUAGGCCUAACACAUGCAAGUCGAACGGCAGCACAGUAAGAGCUUGCUCUUACGGGUGGCGAGUGGCGGACGGGUGAGGAAUACAUCGGAAUCUACUUUUUCGUGGGGGAUAACGUAGGGAAACUUACGCUAAUACCGCAUACGACCUACGGGUGAAAGCAGGGGAUCUUCGGACCUUGCGCGAUUGAAUGAGCCGAUGUCGGAUUAGCUCGUUGGCGGGGUAAAGGCCCACCAAGGCGACGAUCCGUAGCUGGUCUGAGAGGAUGAUCAGCCACACUGGAACUGAGACACGGUCCAGACUCCUACGGGAGGCAGCAGUGGGGAAUAUUGGACAAUGGGCGCAAGCCGGAUCCAGCCAUACCGCGUGGGGGAAGAAGGGCUUCGGGUUGUAAAGCCCUUUUGUUGGGAAAGAAAAGCAGCAGGUUAAUACCCCGCUGUUCUGACGGUACCCAAAGAAUAAGCACCGGCUAACUUCGUG